RNAcentral lists this non-coding RNA (46 nucleotides) under Schistosoma mansoni. Lineage: Eukaryota; Metazoa; Platyhelminthes; Trematoda; Strigeidida; Schistosomatidae. The record is from RNAcentral.
GCACUGCUGAUGAGUCCCAUAAUAGGACGAAACGACCGUCCAGUGC